AUUGAACACUGGCGGCAGGCCUAACACAUGCAAGUCGAGCGGAUGAAGGGAGCUUGCUCCUGGAUUCAGCGGCGGACGGGUGAGUAAUGCCUAGGAAUCUGCCUGGUAUUGGGGGAUAACGUCCGGAAACGGGCGCUAAUACCGCAUACGUCCUGAGGGAGAAAGUGGGGGAUCUUCGGACCUCACGCUAUCAGAUGAGCCUAGGUCGGAUUAGCUAGUUGGUGGGGUAAAGGCCUACCAAGGCGACGAUCCGUAACUGGUCUGAGAGGAUGAUCAGUCACACUGGAGCUGAGACACGGUCAAGACUACUACGGGAGGCAGCAGUGGGGAAUAUUGGACAAUGGGCGAAAGCCUGAUCCAGCCAUGCCGAGUGUGUGAAGAAGGUCUUCGGAUUGUAAAGCACUUUAAGUUGGGAGGAAGGGCAGUAAGUUAAUACCUUGCUGUUUUGACGUUACCAACAGAAUAAGCACCGGCUAACUUCGUG
RNAcentral lists this ribosomal RNA (484 nucleotides) under uncultured bacterium. RNAcentral's name for it is "partial 16S ribosomal RNA". It matches the Rfam family "Bacterial small subunit ribosomal RNA", at positions 30 to 507 of the family's 1533-position model. The record is from RNAcentral.